GGGUGAACCCCAAGUAGCGUGAAGGAUGACUGCCCUAUGGGUUGUAAACUUCUUUUAUAAAGGAAUAAAGUCGGGUAUGCAUACCCGUUUGCAUGUACUUUAUGAAUAAGGAUCGGCUAACUCCGUGCCAGCAGCCGCGGUAAUACGGAGGAUCCGAGCGUUAUCCGGAUUUAUUGGGUUUAAAGGGAGCGUAGAUGGAUGUUUAAGUCAGUUGUGAAAGUUUGCGGCUCAACCGUAAAAUUGCAGUUGAUACUGGAUGUCUUGAGUGCAGUUGAGGCAGGCGGAAUUCGUGGUGUAGCGGUGAAAUGCUUAGAUAUCACGAAGAACUCC
RNAcentral lists this ribosomal RNA (330 nucleotides) under uncultured bacterium. RNAcentral's name for it is "bacterial SSU rRNA". It matches the Rfam family "Bacterial small subunit ribosomal RNA", at positions 359 to 710 of the family's 1533-position model. The record is from RNAcentral.